Molecule: ribosomal RNA, 497 nt
Filed under: uncultured bacterium
Lineage: Bacteria
Description: partial 16S ribosomal RNA
Rfam family: Bacterial small subunit ribosomal RNA
Source: RNAcentral
GAUGAACGCUGGCGGCGUGCCUAAUACAUGCAAGUCGAGCGAACAGACGAGGAGCUUGCUCCUCUGACGUUAGCGGCGGACGGGUGAGUAACACGUGGAUAACCUACCUAUAAGACUGGGAUAACUUCGGGAAACCGGAGCUAAUACCGGAUAAUAUAUUGAACCGCAUGGUUCAAUAGUGAAAGACGGUUUUGCUGUCACUUAUAGAUGGAUCCGCGCCGCAUUAGCUAGUUGGUAAGGUAACGGCUUACCAAGGCAACGAUGCGUAGCCGACCUGAGAGGGUGCUCGGCAACACUGGAACUGAGCCACGGCCCGGCCCCAUACGGGGGGAGGCAGGAGGGAUUCCUCGGCAAGGGCCGAAGGUUUGAGGGAGCAGCCCCGCGGGAGUGAGAAAGGUUUUCGGACCGUAAAACUCUUUUAUUGGGGAAAAAAAAAUUUGUAAGUAACUAUGCCCGUCUUGACGGUACCUAAUAAGAAAGCCCCGGCAAACUACGUC